Ictidomys tridecemlineatus (thirteen-lined ground squirrel) is the source of this 622-nucleotide non-coding RNA. NCBI's taxonomy places the organism in Eukaryota, Metazoa, Chordata, Mammalia, Rodentia, Sciuridae. The record is from RefSeq and is a predicted model, not a curated record.
CACCUACAACUAAAAAUGUUUUUUUAUAAAUGCCAAAAUUCUAACCUUCCCUCAUGUUUUACAUAAAGGGUGGUAUUGUAUACAAAGUCCUGUGUGACUUAGUUUUGUUCAUUUAACAGAGUAUCUCAGAAAUCUUCCCAGAUCCCUACAUGGCCUCCUCAUUCUGUGUUCCAGGUCCUUCAAAUACAGCACUGCUUAUUUUCAGCCCAAAUUAUGCAAGUAUGUAAGACUUCCUCUAACUCUGUAAAUAGUAAUUUUCUGACUUUGCUUUUCCCUUCAACAUACUGAUUCAUCAAUUCUAAGAUGCAUAUUUUGUCUCAUUUUAACAUCUCUGAAAUCAAGGAGCCUCUUCCAGCCACUGAUGGCCAGGCAGCAGCUGUGUCACUGCCCUCACGAGCAUGAGCUUGGCCAGAGCUGUUUUACUGGCGUCACUGUUGAGGAGUUUGAUUGACAUUUAAAAUAUCUUUUAAAAAAGAUUGUUCAUUGUAAUGAAAGGUUACUGUGGUCACAGAAAGGCAGGAAAACGGAGCAGCAGGGGGAAUCAAGAGUAAUAAAGCAAACAUUUCACUUUGGAGGAAUUGCCAAAAUUCUAAAUGUUCUUCUAAAAAAAAAAAAAAAAAAA